AAUUUCAUAAGAGCGUAUGGUGGAUGCCUUGACACUAAAAGACGAUGAAGGACGUCGCAGGGUGCGAUAAGCCUCGGGGAGCUCCCAAGCAAGCUUUGAUCCGGGGAUUUCCGAAUGGGGAAACCCAUCCAGUUUUACUGGAUAUUGUAUACUGAAUACAUAGGUGUAUGAAGAAGACCUAGGGAAGUGAAACAUCUCAGUACCUAGAGGAAAAGAAAUCACAGAGAUUCCCUUAGUAGUGGCGAGCGAAAAGGGAACAGCCCAAACCUUAUAAAUGUUUUUACAGAAAGUGUGAGUCGCAAGAUUUUCAUGACUGUAGCUUAAAGGGUUAGACCGUUGUUUAUAAGGGGUAACAAGAUGUAAGCGCCGGCCCUCUAACGGGCUGGGUGAACAGUUUUCUUUCCUAGUGGAAAGUUCUGGAAAGAACUACCAAAGAAGGUGAUAGUCCUGUACGCGAAAGGAGUCAACUAAUCAUAGCUUAUGUUCUUAAGUAGGACGGAACUCGUGAAAUUCCGCCUGAAGUCGGGCCGACUAUGGUCCAAGGCUAAAUACUUUUAGUGAUCGAUAGUGGACAAGUACCACGAGGGAAAGGUGAAAAGCAGCCCGGAGAGGGCGAUGAAAUAGUAUCUGAAACCGUGUGCUUACAAGGAGCAGGAACCCGCAAGGGCGACUGUGUUCCUAUUGAAGAAUGAGCCUGCGAGUGUGAUGUGUGUCGCCGCUUAAACCCCUAUGGGGUGGAGGCAAAGCGAAAGCGAGUCUUAACGGGCGAUUAUGGUGGCACGCACAUAACCCGAAACCGGGUGAGCUAUCCAUGGACAGGAUGAGCCCCGACGAAAGUCGGGGGGAGGUCCGUACUCACGAGCCGUGCAAAACUCGGAGAUGAUCUGUGGAUGGGAGAGAAAUUCUAAUCGAACUCGGUGAUAGCUGGUUUUCCUCGAAAUAGCUCUAGGGCUAGCCUUGAGUGUUCCUAUUGGUGGUAGAGCACUGGAUGAAGAUUGGGUCCUUCGGGAUACCGUCUUCAAUCAAACUCCGAAUGCCAGUAAUUAAAAACUCAGGAGUCAGACAGUGACGGCUAAGCGCCAUUGUCGAAAGGAGAACAGUCCUGAUCGCUAGCUAAGGUCCCCAAAUUUAUGUUAAGUGCACAAAAAGGUGGUUUUAACUCUUAUACAACCAGGAGGUUGGCUUAGAAGCAGCCAUCCUUUAAAGAA
This 1208-nucleotide ribosomal RNA is filed under the name Candidatus Woesebacteria bacterium. Its description in RNAcentral is "partial 23S ribosomal RNA". It matches the Rfam family "Bacterial large subunit ribosomal RNA", at positions 1 to 1130 of the family's 2925-position model. The record is from RNAcentral. Lineage: Bacteria; Candidatus Woeseibacteriota.